GGGCAUGGUGAACCUGCGGAGGGAUCAUUACC
This 32-nucleotide ribosomal RNA is filed under the name Fusarium sp. CMF2. Its description in RNAcentral is "partial 18S ribosomal RNA". The record is from RNAcentral. Lineage: Eukaryota; Fungi; Ascomycota; Sordariomycetes; Hypocreales; Nectriaceae.